GUAUCACUGUGGUACACUUUUGGUGGAGGAACCAAACUCAUCAUUAACUCUGGCACCAUGGUCAGGCCCUCAGUCUCUCUGCUUCCCCCCUCCUCUGAGCAGCUCUCUGGGGGCUCGGCCACGCUGGCCUGCCUGCUGACCGGCUACUCUCCUCAGGGAGCCGUGGUGAGCUGGCAGGUGGACGGUACGGAGGUGACGGAGGGGGUCCUGAGCAGCUCAGAGGAGGAGAAGAGCGGCCGCUACAGCAGCAGCAGCACCCUGAGCCUGAGCCAGGAGCGCUGGAUGGAAGGAGAGCUGUACUCCUGCAGGGUCCUCCAUCAGGGCCACAGCCAGACCCAGUCCCUCCACAGGAGCCAGUGUAAGGGCUAGAGGGGCCGGCUGAAGCCCAGGACAGGAGCUCUGUGUGGGGGGGAGCAGCUCUGAUCAAUAGCAGUUUGAAUGCUUGUAGAGGAAACUGAAGCUUUGUGUGACAGAGAACAACACUGCUGUAAAGUGUUGGACAACAACAACUUAGAGAGGAAUGUGUGUCGCUCAGC
This is a non-coding RNA of Sebastes umbrosus (honeycomb rockfish), 536 nucleotides long. The record is from the annotation of a RefSeq genome assembly. Lineage: Eukaryota; Metazoa; Chordata; Actinopteri; Perciformes; Sebastidae.